RNAcentral lists this ribosomal RNA (253 nucleotides) under uncultured prokaryote. RNAcentral describes it as "partial 16S ribosomal RNA". It matches the Rfam family "Bacterial small subunit ribosomal RNA", at positions 524 to 776 of the family's 1533-position model. The record is from RNAcentral.
GACGAACCGUGCAAACGUUGUUCGGAAUCACUGGGCUUAAAGGGCGCGUAGGCGGGUUCGCAAGUCAGGGGUGAAAUCGUUCGGCCCAACCGGACAAGGGCCCCUGAUACUGUGAAUCUCGAGGGAGGUAGGGGUCGAUGGAACUUCCGGUGGAGCGGUGAAAUGCGUAGAUAUCGGAAGGAACGCCGGUGGCGAAAGCGAUCGACUGGACCUCUUCUGACGCUGAGGCGCGAAAGCCAGGGGAGCAAACGGG